Molecule: ribosomal RNA, 324 nt
Filed under: uncultured eukaryote
Lineage: Eukaryota
Description: partial 18S ribosomal RNA
Rfam family: Eukaryotic small subunit ribosomal RNA
Source: RNAcentral
CCCUUAGAUGUCCUGGGCUGCACGCGCGCUACACUGAUGUGUCCAGUAAGCACCUAACCUCUUCCGAAAGGAACGGGUAACCUUUGCAAAGCACAUCGUGAUGGGGAUAGAUUAUUGCAAUUAUUAGUCUUGAACGAGGAAUUCCUAGUAAGCACAAGUCAUCAGCUUGUGUUGAUUACGUCCCUGCCCUUUGUACACACUGCCCGUCGCUCCUACCGAUUGAAUGUUCCGGUGAGCUCUUCGGACUGCGCGGUCUGCAGUUUCUGCGUUCCGUGCGGAAAGUUGCGCAAACCUUAACAUUUAGAGGAAGGAGAAGUCGUAACA